Molecule: unclassified non-coding RNA, 259 nt
Filed under: uncultured fungus
Lineage: Eukaryota; Fungi
Description: sequence contains ITS2
Source: RNAcentral
AACGCACAUUGCGCCCGCCAGCAUUCUGGCGGGCAUGCCUGUCCGAGCGUCAUUUCAACCCUCAGGGAACCCCUUCGGGGGGGACCUGGUGUUGGGGGCCGGCCGCCCGCGCCGCCCCCGAAAUGCAGUGGCGACCUCGCCGCAGCCUCCCCUGCGUAGUAGCACAACCUCGCACCGGAGCGCGGAGACGGUCACGCCGUAAAACGCCCAACUUUCAAGAGUUGACCUCGGAUCAGGUAGGAAUACCCGCUGAACUUAA